AUUGAACGCUGGCGGCAUGCCUUACACAUGCAAGUCGAACGGCAGCACGGGAGCUUGCUCCUGGUGGCGAGUGGCGAACGGGUGAGUAAUACAUCGGAACGUACCCUGAAGUGGGGGAUAACGUAGCGAAAGUUACGCUAAUACCGCAUAUUCUGUGAGCAGGAAAGAGGGGGAUCGCAAGACCUCUUGCUUUAGGAGCGGCCGAUGUCGGAUUAGCUAGUUGGUGAGGUAAAGGCUCACCAAGGCGACGAUCCGUAGCGGGUCUGAGAGGAUGAUCCGCCACACUGGGACUGAGACACGGCCCAGACUCCUACGGGAGGCAGCAGUGGGGAAUUUCGGACAAUGGGCGCAAGCCUGAUCCAGCCAUGCCGCGUGAGUGAAGAAGGCCUCGGUUGU
This 396-nucleotide ribosomal RNA is filed under the name uncultured bacterium. Its description in RNAcentral is "bacterial SSU rRNA". It matches the Rfam family "Bacterial small subunit ribosomal RNA", at positions 30 to 426 of the family's 1533-position model. The record is from RNAcentral.